RNAcentral lists this unclassified non-coding RNA (7940 nucleotides) under Leishmania donovani. Its description in RNAcentral is "gene:LdHU3.03.0510(CDS-product:hypothetical_prote in_conserved)". The record is from RNAcentral. Lineage: Eukaryota; Euglenozoa; Kinetoplastea; Trypanosomatida; Trypanosomatidae.
AAACGGCCGAAGUCCUUCUCUUCUUCCUUCUCCCCGCUGUGUGGCUGCAGCCCCUGCCGCCCGACCGCCCCGCUCCUCAGAACACCGAGCGCGCGAGAAAGACAACCAAAGCAAGCACGGGCAGGGCGAGAGGCGUUCUCGUCCGUGCAACCUUCUACACGCGCGGGCACACGCACGCCCAAGCUGCGCAGCAGCUUGCAGGAAAAAUGGAGAAUCACGCGUCGGCGUCCAUGUAUAUCCCUUCAUCGAAGGUGCUGGCCCGCUUGCAGCGACAUGCAACAACGAUGGAAAAGUGGAAGGCCGGCAACGUCAGUGCCAACGGCGGUUCUGGACUCACUGCAGCGUCUGUGGCAUUGCCUCCCGCGAGCAGCAGCAGCCCCUUCGGCGCUUAUCCAAAAACGGCGACCAUGGAUACGCUUGCCGCGCUGUCGGCCUCAUCAACCAAGAUGGAUGGGGCGGCAGUGCUCGUCAAGAGAUCCGCGACUGUGCCAAAGCCGUCUGGUGCGGCUGGCAGCUCUCCGUCUGCCCACUGCACCCCCUCCUCUUGCAUGGGCAAUUCCACCUCGCACGAUUUUCAGAAGAGUGUGUCGCCGCUGUCGGAGAGCACCACCCGUGGCGCUGCUGCUGUCGCCCACACCGCAGCCUCCGACGCCGCAAUGCCACCAUCACUGGCGCCAUCGGCAACGCCACCGAGCACGUUCAAGUCUCCCGCAGCGUCUCCAGUCUUCUCGCCCCAGAUGCCCGGCAGCAAGGCCAACAGCAGUCGCGCCGCUCUUGGAGUCUCCAUUGCCAUCGAGACCUGUGGCGCAGCGUCGCAGACGUUGUCUGCGCCAGCGGCAACGCCUUCAUCGCCAGCACUCUCACCCUCAGCGCCGUUGCCCCCAGCAUCCGCGUGGCUUCUUCCCCGGGAUGACGUGACGUACAUCUUAUCAUCCCUGACGUGGAACGUGGACCUCCUGCGGUUGCUACUCCCACACGCGCCGUGCCCGCUGCACCUCCCAGGCGCCGAACCUCUUGCGGAGGUGCCAUCUCCCACAGCCGAAGAACUCGCCACAUCGACAGCACUGGCUGCCGCCCCUGCGUCGCCCGCGCCGCCUAGUAGCGAUAUGAACGAAGAGGAAGCGAACGCGGAAGCAGGGCAAGAGGGUUUGACCGUGAAGUGCGCUGCCCAGAGCAGCGUGGAUAGCGCGGCAACGGUGGGUGGGGCAUCUUCAGCGGGCAAGCUGCAAUCUCUAAAGGCCGAUAAGCGCGGCGACGCAUCGAGCGUCUCGUCGAAGAUGCACACAAGCGGUGCAUAUGCACAAGAGGCAUACCACACACGUGACAGCCCUGCUGCUGUCACGGAUAUCGCCCCCAACCCACGCUCCCUGUCACCGCCGCCGGAGUCGUCGUUGUCGUCGCUCACGACGAGCGUCGCGGUGUCCGGGACGUCAGGUGCUGUCUCCACCGUGCCGCUCACCUGGUCGCAAUACCUUUUUCGCGGGUCUGGCGGCGGUGUUAGAGCCGUCGUGGGAAGUCAGCGUAACGGUGCGACUUUAGUGCUUGGCGACGACACCGCUCGAGAGCGACAGCAGCCACAGCAGCUGACGUCGCUUGUCCGUGGGCAGGCCCCGCCCCCGGCAUUCGUGCACGGGGUUGGCAGAGGCCUCCCGCACAGUCAUAGUGACGGGGCGCUGGUGCGCAAACCGAAAACGUCUGCGGGCACGCCAGCAGCGGCACCCAACUCCGCCUACGUAUCCUCCUCCAUCUUCCACGCGCAGUACCUCCCCUCGCUGGAAGAGUUUCAGCGCAAGUUGGAGGAGCACAAGCACCAGCAGCAGCUUCUCCUUCGCCAGCAGCAGCAGCAACCACCGGCCUUGUCAGCCACCCGCCUUCAGCAGCACCUCCAGCAGCAACAGCAGCAGCAAUCCCAGCCCCACCAUUACCCCUGCCGUCGUGCGGCGACGAACAAGACGUUCUUCUACUCGCCGGCGCCGUCUGUCCUGUCCUUUGCCACCACUGCCGCGACGACGACCGUCAACGAGAACGCCACCGAUGAGGAUUGCGAGGAAGAGCAGCAGCGCUGUCAGCUCUCGUGCAGCGGCGCAACGGUGACGUCACCGAGAAGCCCGCCACUGCCGCUGGCAGCACACCGCAGCCACGCAGCAGCCGUCUCGGGUAUGUGGUCAUCGUCGUUGCCGCCCUCUCCGCCGGCAUCUUCCUCCGCGUCGCAGGCGCGCCGUGGCCUUCAGCAGCCCCAGCGCCUGCUUGGCUGCAGCGAGCUUCGCCUGCGCCCCUGUACCUCCUCCACCUUCUCCCUCGACAACCUUGACAGCGGCGGUGGCAGCGAUAACGAGGAGGCGAGGGGCGGGAUCGGUGCUACCGCAGUGACCCCUUGGAUGUUGUACCCUACCCCUCACUCAUCGCGUCCGUCGCCCUCGCAGCCACAGCAACCGUCGAUGAUGAUGCUGCGAGCCGCCGAUCAGCUGCGUGGGCCCAUCGUGUCCUCUUCGGCACAAAGGCGGUCGCCACUGUUGUUGCACACUGGCGGUGGUCGCACCAGCCACGACAGUAGAGGGAGCUCGCCCGCCACCGCGCGUGAUGACGACGACGACGAUAGCGACGAAGAGAAUGAAGAGGACGUGGAAUGGGCCUUGAGCCGUCGCGGCGCCAGCGGCAGCGGCGGCGUCCGGCCGUCGAGCUCGUUUCCGGCCUCGCCGACGGUCAGCAUCAGCUCCAUGUCCUUCAGCCGGGUGUGGUCGAGCACCUUGAGCGGACGCGCGACCCCGCGCACUACCCUCGCCACCGGCGUCGGUAGUAGUGUGGCGAACCACAACCCACACUUCAACGGCAGCAGCUUCGGCGGUGUCGGCUACGCCUCGCCCUAUUCGGCCACCAAAGGUGGCAAGAACGCGCGCCGCAGACGGAAAGCGACAUGCACGCGGAGGCGGCGUAUAAUGCGUGUCUACGUGCCCAGCAUCACGGAAGGACCAAAGGCGGCGAGCCUGUACACCGCACCGACCGCGGAGGCGCAGGAACUGCUGCUGCAGCUGCAGCACCGCGCAGCGAUGUCGUUGCUUUCCGGCUCCACGGCGAGACCCAUCGCAGAACACAGCGCGACAGCCACCGCCGUCUCCUCCGCGUUGCCCGCGACGACAGCAUCAGCGACGUCCCCGGCGAUUCAGCCGCGCGGUGUCGCCGCCUCCCCUCGCCCAAGCACGUUUGCAGAGGCGGCACGCGCGAAGAGCGGGAAUGGGGGCGGUACCGCUGCCGGCGUGCUGACGCCGGGACAGGCACAGCGGCAGCAGCGCGGCUUCACAGGCCCCAACGUCUUGUCCCCCAUGGCACCCCGAAACCCCGGAGAAGCAGAGCAGACGCCGCAGCUCUUGACGCUGCCGCAGUCGCUGCGAAGCCGCGAAACCGCCACAGACCUGCUCAACUCAUCGUGGUCAGGCGUUGCGGCAGCUCCACCAUCGGCAGCAGCCGCAGCCCCGACACCGAGGUCCUUUACUUCUGCUGGGAGCAGCAGCGAUGGCGGGCCUGGCGACUUCGGUGACGAAGUCGGCGGUCCUAGUCGGGCUGAUGCUUCAAUGAGCACAACGGCAGACACAUCAGCAGAGGCGUAUCAUCGGCAGUUGAGUGCACCGGCAUCCGCAGCCGGGUCCGUGACGCCUGUGGAGCUGCCGCAGUGGGUGCGAGAGCGGCCGCUGUCCGCCUUGUACUACCAGCCGUGGGGGCUGGAGCUGCUGGCACGCUACGAGGCGUCGCGGCACGAGCAGCAGCUGGCGAGAGCACGAACGCUUCGUCGCGUGGGGCCGGGUGUCGGCAGCAGCGCUGCUGCAGCAGGUGCCGCUGUAUCAGAGGUCAGUGUUAGCGGGAACAAGUCCAGUCCAGCAGCAUCGAUGCACAGCAGCAGCGCCACGUCGCCAUACACGAUGUUGUCGCCUGCUGCAGCGACGGCAGCGCAGCAUAUGCCUGUGCUCUCGCGCCCCUCUCUCGGUACGAGUCGUGGCGGCUGCACCAACACCGCAGCAGCAGGAGAAGCGCCACCAACGUCAUCGCCCAGCGCCCCGCGUGUUUCCUGGGCAGCGGCGCUUCGUCAACCACAGCGCGCGAGCCUCACCUCCGGCAGCAGCGGCGGGGUCGCCUCCACCGCGGCGUCGGCGGCGGCGAGCACGAUUACGGCAACAACAACGAUGAACAACAGCUCGACAGCGACCACAGCAACGGCGGCCGUGGGCCUGAUGCAGCGGCAGCGACCGCUGCAGCUGCCAGCGGUCGUGCCCGAGUGGCCGCCAGAGCUCUCGGCCGCGGAGGAGAUGGAUGCCUGGGAGGAGGUAUACUACUUUGGCGGGGUCGCCACGGCGCCAUCAUCGUCACAGCAGGAGCGGCAGCAACAGCAGCGCCAGACACGCCGCUCUGCAACAAAGUCUCGCGAUCGUGGGGCGAGCGGCACCAAGAAGGGCCACGCAGAAGGCAGGCAUGGGACAUGGACGACGGAUUUGGGAGGCCGCGUGGGCGGGUCCUCUGGUCAGGUGAAGGGCCUCGGUAGCAACACUCUUGUGACGUGCUCGGCGGCGGCCUCAGCAGCGGUGCUUAAGCGGCAGCAGUGGUGGCUCAACGAGGAAAUACAGCCUCCGACGCUGUACCUGAGUCGGCAGCGGCGCUCGUCGCGUCGCCGCUCCCGGGUGGCGUACCCAAGCGACACGUUCCGCAGCAGCACCGCGCGCCGCGCCGGCGCCACCUCAGCUGCGGCGGAGCUGUUUGGCAGACACAGGGAUGCGCAUCCCACCCCGACCGCCGACGCGACCGCCGCAGCGCCAACUGGCGUGCAGGCAUUGGGAGAGGCGGUGCCGGUGUCACAUGCAGAGGCAAACCCACCUGCAAGCAGCAGUCUCACCUUCGCCUCUUCCGUGAGCAGAAGCGACGUGAUCCUGUACAGCGACGGCUACCCGCGCAAGAAGGCCGCCCAAUUAUUCUACCCGGCGCCCUCCCUGCACGGGGUCGGGGCCCCGCUGCCAUCGCCUUUCACAAAACUUGACCACCGCACCAUCGGCCAGGGCACCGGCACCAGCGGUCAUGCGGCCGCCCUGCUGCCAGUGUCAGCGGCUGUGGGCACUGAUGUGAUGCAGCGAGGCGGUGACAUCGCCGACGCACAGCAGAAACAGCAGCACGUGGGGUGGGGCAACCGCGCCGCGGAGGACGAGCAGGUAGAGAUGGGGACGAGUGCGACACAGCUGGAGGGCAGUGCCGUCGAGCAGGUGGUCGACAACAGCGGCUGCGACAGUGGCGAAGAGGCUGAUGCGGCUGGGUCGGGGCUAGGAGGGCAUCCGCCGGCUUGGUCGUCGGCUGACAAUCCCCACCGUUCGAGUAACGGCCGCAUGAGUGGUGCAGCGGACUCGACGUCGACCACCCUCGCCGCCACCUGCGCGUCAACACCGGCAGCGGCGUCACCGGUAGACGUGACUGCACCACGGCCACGCGCUGAUGUGGACGUCAUCUUCUUUCUUCAGAAGUUCAUGCGUGCGGUGCUGAUCGUCUUCAUCGCGCAGGUGCGCCUGCAGCAGCUGCAGCAACACCGGGAACGCGAACUGCAAGCGAGCCCUCUCCACGGUGCGACGUGUCCUGCGGGGGCCCACCUACUGGACCAGCAAGCGCAGGUUCAGCGGAUGAAAGCCAAGGACCGGGACGGCAGCCGCUCCAGCGGCGGGGACCCGGCAGCGGCAGCAGAGGCGUCGGAUGGAGGGGGGCUCUCGAAGCUGGAGCGUAGCGCCUUGGGCUUCGUGCGCCACUACUUGGCAGACUAUCGGCACAUGAUCACCGCGUACGUCAUGCGCGACGACCGCGAGGUGGCACGGCGCUCGGCGCAGGCCAUCCUGUCCCCUCCCCAAUCAGCCGCUUCGGCUCUGUCGAUGAUGCCGCCGUCGGCUGUCGCUGCACCAGGAGCGACAAGCAGAGGGGCCAGCUCAGCGCCGGACCCCCUGUUCCAGCAAGACGUUUUAGCACGGUGGCUGCAUGCGACUCGAGUGAAGACGGUGUACGAGGAAGCUGUUAGAGUGGCCACCAGCGGCUUUCCAGGCGACGCGGACGCGAACCCACCGGCGACGCCGGUCGACGACGUGGAGUCGCUUCGCACGGCGCAGGUGUACAUCAGCGGCAAGGACGCUGCGUGGCAGCCGCUGCUGAUGGAGCUCCUGCAGGUGAGCCGCGUGGUGCAGUGCUACAGCGAUGGCCCGGUUGUCGCGGCAACAGGCUCAGCGCCGUCAGCAUCUGCAACGUCACCACAGCGGCUUCUACUGGCGAGCCUGGAAAAGUUCUUGGCCCAGCCGACACUGCCGUUGCUUCGCCAUGCCGGAUCUGGCGCGUCCGCAACGGCGCAGGCGGUGACGACGACCCCAGCAAGCUCGGCUGCUUCCUCGACGGGCACCGCCACAGCCGCGUCAGGCUCUCUUGCAUCCGACUUGCGCACGACGACAACUCCGUCGCUCACGCCAGCGCAGGAGGCAGCGGCAGCGCUAAUGGUGGAGGAAAGCGACGCCUUUCGGGCCUACCUUCUAUCCGGGUAUCUGAGAGAGGACACCGCCGCCGAUGGCAGCAGCGCGACAGCGAGCGCCACCUUUGCCGCCAAGACAACGACGACGGUGCUGCGUCACAGCCAGAGUGCGCCAACGCUCUCGGCCAGAGUAAUGCAGCAGCGGCAACAUCCAUCGGUGUCCUCCGCAGCCGUGAUGCCACCCUCCACAGUGCUGCAUGCGAUGAGCAGCCAUCCACAGCUCCAGCAGCCGCAGUCACCGAGCCUGCUCUUCAACACGGGCUCGCUGCUGCAGCCCUUGACGUGGUACCCGUACGCUUACAUGCCAGGCACCGCGAACCCCUACGCCGAGAGCGCGGACUCCAACUCCACCCGCAUAACACCAGCCAAGGCCGCCACCGCGUCCUCCAUGACGCUCUAUGUGACGAUGCUGCCGCUGAGCGGGCGGCUGCUGUGGCGGUGGGUGGUGCCGGCCGAGGACACGGACAACUUCAACCUCUCCGUGUUUUUUCAAUCGUCGCUCUUUUCCUUCAUGCAAGGUGGUCCCUUGCCGAUGCCGUCUGCCGCGCCUGAAUGGCAUGCUGCCGCCGCCGCCGUUGGACACGGCGCGGCGGCGUACGCACCGACGCCGAUGGCGAUGCUGAUGGCACCAUCGCCGUCACCGCACCCGUCGCUGACGUGGCCGCCAGCGCUGGCCACUCGCAUCGAUGCGCAGCUGCGCAACGACGCCUUCAGAAUCGCGUGGGGUGGGGUGUCAUCGCCGUGCAUCUGCGGCACUGCGGCGGCCUCCGUCCGCAAAGACCAUAGAUUCGGUUCGGAUUUGUGGGGCGAGAUGCCGGAGGUCACGCUCGUGCACUGCUCUGCUGGCAUGCACCGCUCGUGCGGCAUCUUGGUAGCUUUUCUGCUCUGGUUGCUAUAUCAAUGCCGGCAAGUACUCCGCACUGAGCAGACUCUCGGUCUCGGGCCGCUGAGCUGCACGAGUGCCCCGGCACCACCGCUGCGUGUUGGCGCCGAAGCCGCCCACGACGCUGCUGUGAAAGCACUGCUACUUGACGACGUGGACGCACUCGCACCCGCAGCCGCGUCAGCAGCGGACGGCGGGGAUGAGGAGCAGCCGGAGCAGCGUACGAAGAACACCGCCGCAGACGCCGACGCACCGUGGUUAACGAGUCGCCUUCUUCACCGCACCAUUCGCCACGUUCAGCAGCAGCGCAGCAUCGCGGUGCCCAUCCGAACGGUGCAGUGCCUGCUGCAGUCCUUUGCGAAUGAGCUGCGGCUGAACUAGCGACUCGCACACGCCCCGAUGCACGUGCAGACGCCUGGCAAUGGCGAAGGAGGCGGAGGUGAGAGCUUGUCCGGCGAAGGGUGGUGAAGAAGGCAGGGAAGGAGGGAGGGAGGGAGUUGUCUCUUCUCAUGUGCGCAUGCAUCC